RNAcentral lists this ribosomal RNA (301 nucleotides) under uncultured bacterium. Its description in RNAcentral is "partial 16S ribosomal RNA". It matches the Rfam family "Bacterial small subunit ribosomal RNA", at positions 509 to 808 of the family's 1533-position model. The record is from RNAcentral.
CAGCAGCCACGGUAAUACGUAGGUGGCAAGCGUUGUCCGGAAUUAUUGGGCGUAAAGCGCGCGCAGGCGGCCUAUCCAGUCUGUCUUAAAAGUUCGGGGCUCAACCCCGUGAUGGGAUGGAAACUAGUAGGCUAGAGUAUCGGAGAGGAAAGCGGAAUUCCUAGUGUAGCGGUGAAAUGCGUAGAUAUUAGGAAGAACACCAGUGGCGAAGGCGGCUUUCUGGACGAAAACUGACGCUGAGGCGCGAAAGCCAGGGGAGCGAACGGGAUUAGAUACCCCAGUAGUCCCUGUCUCUUAUACC